Long non-coding RNA from Dunckerocampus dactyliophorus (ringed pipefish), 1416 nucleotides. RefSeq lists it as uncharacterized. The transcript has 3 exons. NCBI's taxonomy places the organism in Eukaryota, Metazoa, Chordata, Actinopteri, Syngnathiformes, Syngnathidae. The record is from RefSeq and is a predicted model, not a curated record.
CACCAAAGCAGAUCAGAAAUGUCCAUGGCUGACAGGAUGACCUGACCAUCCCUACAUCCUGGCAGCGUAGACGCCCAAGGCAGUUCCAUUCAGACUCCUCGAGUGAAGAUGAAUCCUGAAAGAAAAAGUCAAGAAAGCUGUCCAGGACUGUGCCUGUCUGGAAGCCCUUUGGAUGAAUCAACACCAGUCAGGCACGCCGCCAGUCAUCCUGAUACAGUGACGUGCGGUGAGGUCCAUGGCUGGUGAGGCACAAAUACUUUUUUUUUUUACUCAAAAAUCUUCCGCUCUAAUCAAUGUUAAAACAUUAUAGGAUAAUGAGAAAGGCCAGAGAGUAGUUGACUUCUUGUAAAAAAAAAAAAAAUUCUCAAAUACUUCGUACACAAUGCAACAUUUAUUUCAGUAAUGGCAUUGGUAAUACAUUUGACAGACUACAGCCUAAAUCACCUUCAUCACUGAUUCAUCAUGGAUUCAGCUAAUCUCCCAGUGAAACAAAGUAGCUUUAAACUAUAUUGUGUGGGACUACACCUCGAGUCUUGGCCACUGUCCUGUUUAUCUACAACUACCAGUGUUAUAAUGUUUUUAAAAAAUACCCGUCUUUGUCUUUGGGAAAACUGAAAAAUGACAAAUCUGGUCUUUUGGACCCGGCAUUGUAAAGGUCUUACAGUGGCUCCGCUAUGCACCAGACCGGACGGGAAGGUUUAGGCGUGGCAAUGAAUGAAAUUAAAGAAAACCUGUUUGAUUUCUGUUCAAAAAGAGCGUGACUGCUAUUAUACGAGAUAAAACCAUAUAUCUUUUUACCCUUUGACAUCCUGAUUGUAGACAGGCAGGAUUGUAAUGAAAUGCUGGCACUGAGCAGCAUUAAAUGAGCCCUAUUUCAUCUGGUAUUGUCACUGAAAUAUAAUUGAAGCCACAUACAUUUUUGUUUCAAUGUUCACAUUAAUUGAAAUACAAUCGAAAUUGUGUUAUCUAUGGUUAUGAAACAGACGUUUCAAUGUUAGCAGCGGGUGCAAACUGAUGGUAAAUCAACACUGAAGUCCGACAAGUCGGUGAUCUAACAUUGAAAAUUUAACAUAGAUUCGCCAUUGUUUCAAUGUCACCUUGCUAUCUGAGAUAUUACAUGUGUUCUCCUGCCUGGCCACCUGUAAGUCUUUUGCGUCUCAGUACGCAACUGUGGUGCGGUCAAAGAACCGAAAUUUGUGUGCUUCUUAACAAUGCUACCUGUGUUCUGCACAUUUGACCUGUAUUAUCACAUAUUUCUAAAUUCUUACCUACAUAUAGUAAAUGAGAUGUGUUUUCUGCUGAAAAAAAAUGACUAUUUUUGGAGAAAAUCUGAAAUAUUGGAGGAUCCACCGCAUAUGCUGUUGUUUUCAUUGACCUAUGAGGCCGUUAUCGUUGAGCCGGAUGAACUUUGCCUGA